CGGCUCUAACCCUAAAAACCCUUCCCCAAAAAAGACAGGAGAAAGGAAGAAAAAAGUCUCCCUUUUUUUCCUUUCCAUCUUCUCUUCUCCUUCUCUCAUCCAUGGCGAAGAAGCGAAAGCUCGAGUCGGAACUCAACCCUCUCGAAACCGACUCAGCGGCGACCGAUUCCGCGACCGAUUCGGAAUCGGACGAAGAAGAUCUGGCCAAGACCCUCGAGCCCUUCAACAAGGAGCAGCUCAUCGACCUCCUCCGAUCCGCAGCUUCCUCCGACCCUAGUAUCGCUGAAGAGAUCCACCGGGUUGCCGACCGCGACCCGGCCCACCGCAAGCUCUUCGUCCACGGCCUUGGCUGGGAGACCACCUCCGAUAAGCUCAGCUCCUACUUCUCCAAGUACGGCGAGCUCGAGGACUGCAACGUCGUCGUCGACAAGGCUUCCGGCAAAUCCAAGGGCUACGGCUUCCUCCUCUACAAGCAUCGCCGGUCCGCUAGGAAGGCCCUCAGGAACCCUCAGAAGAAGAUCGACGGUCGGAUGACCGCAUGCCAGCUUGCGUCGGCUGGCCCCGUGCAGCCGCAGCAGGGCCUACAGCCCCAGCAGAAGGAGGCGUUGGCAAGGAAGAUCUACGUUGGGAACGUGAAUUCGGAUAUCCCUGCUGCAAAAUUGCUCACAUUCUUCUCCAAGUAUGGGGAAAUCGAGGAGGGGCCCCUAGGGUUUGAUAAGCAGACGGGCAAGUCGAAGGGUUUCGCCCUUUUCAUAUAUAAGACUGUUGAGGGGGCGAGGAAGGCAUUGGAAGAGCCGAACAAGAGCUUCGAAGGGCACCAAUUGUAUUGUCAGAAGGCGACAGAUAGUCACAAACUCCGGGCUGCUUCCACUGCCGUGCCAUCUUCCAAUAAUGCUCCAGGGCCCGCAGGCCCAUCCGGGUAUAACGCGUCAGGCAGUGGUGCAAAUGUGGGUUUUGGUGGGCCGGACAUGGCUGCUUCGGCGGCUUUAUUAGGACAAGGGCUCCUGUCUGGGGCACUGCCGUUUGGUGGACAGGGUGUUGCACAGAAUCAAGCAGCGCUUGCUGUGCUUGCAGCUGCUGGGCAGAAUCCGGCUGCUUUCGGUGUUUCACCGGCCAUGCUUGCAUCAUUGAACCCUGCUGCUUUGGCUGCAGCACUGAAUAUGGGGGCUGCGCCGCAGGUGGCGGGGUCGGCGGUUCCACAGGCGCUGCAGGGUUUUGGGAUGGGAAAUGCAGGGUAUCAGAAUUCACAGGGUCAUCAGGGUGCAAAUUCAUUUCAGGGUGGGCAUAUGGGGCAAGGUUCUGUGCCGAGGCCGCAUUCUGGUGUGGGACCAAUGGGAGGAUAUGCAUCACGUUAGGUUGGCAACAUGGCCUCCUUGCAUCACUUGUUCUCCCACUGUGGUCAAUUCAGAACAUGUCAAACGAUUGGAUCAUAACUCCUACACUACGACUUGAGAGAUUAGUCAGCAUGCUUCGGCUAACCAAUCCUGUGUAAUUUGGACCAAUGAGGGGACUUAAUUUCCUUCUACGUUUCCACUGUUUUUCAGUUGUCCCUAUUCCAGAAAUCCUUUGAUUUCCUGGACUAGAGAAGAUGCAUUGAUUAUUGGAUUGAAACCAUGCAAGAUCGGGAGGUCCCAUCCCUCGCCGGAUCCAAUCCACGCAUGAUUUGAAUACGAUCGUAGUUUCUUGUAUGGAGAUCAUAGAAUCCGUCAAUGGAACAGCAAUAGCAACAGCAAAUGCUGAAAUAGAAGCAAAGAGUCAUGUGAUUCAUUCAAAAGUGAGAGAGAUGGGUUUGAGGGCCACACACAGUUUCAUUCCAGCUGUGGUGUUUGGAGGGGAUGCACUCUUGGGGCUUGCAAGAUAGGAAAGGGAGUAGGAGGAAAAGCAAAAAUCUUCUCGGCAGGCAGCGGUACAGGAAUUGUCUGAUCAGGGAUAUGAUGUGGAAGAGCAGAAAGAAGCUAGAAUAUGGUAGAGCCAUCUCUCUGCAGUAUGUGAGGCAAGUUGAUGUAGCAAUUCAUUCUGUCCAUCCAAUGGGCCCCAUCAAAUGAUGCUGUCCCAUGCACCAUUGCCGUCAGUUGGAACACAUUCAUCAUGGCUGAGUAGGAUGAAGUUGCCAUCUUUUCAAAGCAGCUAUGGAUAGAACGCAUCAUAACAUGUUUCUAUGGUCUGGCGAAUCAAGCUUCCUGCACUUUGACCUGGAUGAGAAAGGUAUUAUGAACAUUCCUGUCAUUGCAGGCAUUGCAUGUGACAACCUGUGCACGUGGGGCUGAAAUUUGAGCCAAGGAAAAGGUGGGUCACACUUGAGAUGAUCUUGCCAGUAAAACAUUGAAUGUGUUUGUGCAAGUGUUGCUUACAUUAGUGCCAGGUGCUUGAUUACUGAGCCGGUUACACCACUGGGUCCACCUGAAACAAGAUUGGGAUUUCCAUAACACUUAGGGUUGCAUAUUUAAUGUUGUGGUUGAGCAAAACUCUCUUCUGCAUACGCCCAUGGUGCAUAUCUGUGGCAUCAAAUAAAUGUAAUAUUCAAUCUCA
Magnolia sinica is the source of this 2529-nucleotide RNA transcript. It is a transcript of the gene named UBP1-associated protein 2A-like, with no coding region annotated. Lineage: Eukaryota; Viridiplantae; Streptophyta; Magnoliopsida; Magnoliales; Magnoliaceae. The record is from RefSeq and is a predicted model, not a curated record. The transcript has 5 exons.